RNAcentral lists this long non-coding RNA (430 nucleotides) under Cricetulus griseus (Chinese hamster). Its description in RNAcentral is "lncRNA (ENSCGRG00015038725.1)". Lineage: Eukaryota; Metazoa; Chordata; Mammalia; Rodentia; Cricetidae. The record is from RNAcentral.
GAGGCAGGCAGGCCAGCCAACGAGAGGCAUGGAGAAGGGCUGGUUAGAGGCAGGCCAGUGAGAAACAAGAAGGGGAAAUAGAAGGAAGCCAAGGACAGAAAUCUCAGGUGUCAGCACAUCCAGAGUGCAACAGACAAGUCUUAUCCUGGGAAAACCACCUUCAUGAUCACAGUAUCACCCCUACCAGGUUAGAACACUCAAUGGACACUUCUUCUCAGCGUGCUGAUCAGUUAUGAGUUUCUGCAUCAACUGCCACCCUCUGAAAAUGCUUCCUGGAGGACAAUGAAAUGGCUCAGCAGUUGCUGUUUUCACAGAGAACUACAGCGGCAGCCAGCGAACCCUGGAGUUCCCGAGGCAGCAUUUGCAAAAGUUAACUCUUGGCGCCCAGACAGGCACACACGUGUGGACUCUUGCCACUGAUGACCCAGGC